GGACGGGUGAGUAACACGUGGGUAACCUGCCCUAAAGUGGGGGAUAACAUUUGGAAACAGAUGCUAAUACCGCAUAAAACCUAACACCGCAUGGUGUAGGGUUGAAAGAUGGUUUCGGCUAUCACUUUAGGAUGGACCCGCGGUGCAUUAGUUAGUUGGUGAGGUAAAGGCUCACCAAGACCGUGAUGCAUAGCCGACCUGAGAGGGUAAUCGGCCACACUGGGACUGAGACACGGCCCAGACUCCUACGGGAGGCAGCAGUAGGGAAUCUUCCACAAUGGACGAAAGUCUGAUGGAGCAACGCCGCGUGAGUGAAGAAGGUUUUCGGAUCGUAAAACUCUGUUGUUGGAGAAGAAUGUAUCUGAUAGUAACUGAUCAGGUAGUGACGGUAUCCAACCAGAAAGCCACGGCUAACUACGUGCCAGCAGCCGCGGUAAUACGUAGGUGGCAAGCGUUGUCCGGAUUUAUUGGGCGUAAAGCGAGCGCAGGCGGUUUCUUAAGUCUGAUGUGAAAGCCUUCGGCUCAACCGAAGAAGUGCAUCGGAAACUGGGAGGCUUGAGUGCAGAAGAGGACAGUGGAACUCCAUGUGUAGCGGUGAAAUGCGUAGAUAUAUGGAAGAACACCAGUGGCGAAGGCGGCUGUCUGGUCUGUAACUGACGCUGAGGCUCGAAAGCAUGGGUAGCAAACAGGAUUAGAUACCCUGGUAGUCCAUGCCGUAAACGAUGAGUGCUAGGUGUUGGAGGGUUUCCGCCCUUCAGUGCCGCAGCUAACGCAUUAAGCACUCCGCCUGGGGAGUACGACCGCAAGGUUGAAACUCAAAGGAAUUGACGGGGGCCCGCACAAGCGGUGGAGCAUGUGGUUUAAAACGAAGCAACGCGAAGAACCUUACCAGGUCUUGACAUCCUUUGACCACUCUAGAGAUAGAGCUUUCCCUUCGGGGACAAAGUAACAGGUGGUGCAUGGUUGUUGUCAGCUCGUGUCGUGAGAUGUUGGGUUAAGUCCCGCAACGAGCGCAACCCUUAUUACUAGUUGCCAGCAUUAAGUUGGGCACUCUAGUGAGACUGCCGGUGACAAACCGGAGGAAGGUGGGGACGACGUCAAAUCAUCAUGCCCCUUAUGACCUGGGCUACACACGUGCUACAAUGGAUGGUACAACGAGUUGCGAGACCGCGAGGUUUAGCUAAUCUCUUAAAACCAUUCUCAGUUCGGAUUGUAGGCUGCAACUCGCCUACAUGAAGCCGGAAUCGCUAGUAAUCGCGG
RNAcentral lists this ribosomal RNA (1260 nucleotides) under Latilactobacillus sakei. RNAcentral describes it as "bacterial SSU rRNA". It matches the Rfam family "Bacterial small subunit ribosomal RNA", at positions 100 to 1347 of the family's 1533-position model. Lineage: Bacteria; Bacillati; Bacillota; Bacilli; Lactobacillales; Lactobacillaceae. The record is from RNAcentral.